UCGUAACGGCGAAGUGAAGCGGCAACAGCUCCAAAUUUGAAAUCUGGCUUCGGCCCGAGUUGUAAUUUGCAGAGGAAGCUUUAGGCGCGGCACCAACUGAGUCCCCUGGAACGGGGCGCCACAGAGGGUGAGAGCCCCGUAUAGUUGGACGCCUAGCCUGUGUAAAGCUCCUUCGACGAGUCGAGUAGUUUGGGAAUGCUGCUCAAAAUGGGAGGUAAAUUUCUUCUAAAGCUAAAUACCGGCCAGAGACCGAUAGCGCACAAGUAGAGUGAUCGAAAGAUGAAAAGCACUUUGAAAAGAGGGUUAAAUAGCACGUGAAAUUGUUGAAAGGGAAGCGCUUGUGACCAGACUUGCGCCCGGCUGAUCAUCCGGUGUUCUCACCGGUGCACUCUGCCGGGCUCAGGCCAGCAUCGGUUCUCGCGGGGGGAUAAAGGUCCUGGGAACGUAGCUCCUCCGGGAGUGUUAUAGCCCAGGGCGUCAUGCCCUCGCGGGGACCGAGGUUCGCGCAUCU
This 511-nucleotide ribosomal RNA is filed under the name Humicola homopilata. RNAcentral describes it as "partial 28S ribosomal RNA". It matches the Rfam family "Eukaryotic large subunit ribosomal RNA", at positions 81 to 602 of the family's 3401-position model. Lineage: Eukaryota; Fungi; Ascomycota; Sordariomycetes; Sordariales; Chaetomiaceae. The record is from RNAcentral.